AGAGAGAGACAUGCGCGCAUAUCAAUAAGCGGAGGAAAAGAAACUAACAAGGAUUCCCCUUAGUAACGGCGAGUGAAGCGGGAAGAGCUCAAAUUUGAAAUCUUCAAGGUUUUACCUUGACGAAUUGUAGUUUAAAGAAGUGUUUUCUGCUGAAGUUUUGGUAAAAGUUCUUUGGAAUAGGACAUCAUAGAGGGUGAGAAUCCCGUAUUUGACCAUUAUUUUCAGCUUUGUGAUACACUUUCAAAGAGUCGGAUUGUUUGGGAAUGCAGUCCAAAAUGGGUGGUAAAUUUCAUCUAAAGCUAAAUAUUGGCGAGAGACCGAUAGCGAACAAGUACCGUGAGGGAAAGAUGAAAAGAACUUUGAAAAGAGAGGUUAAACAGUACGUGAAAUUGUCAAAAGGGAAGCGUUUGACACCAGUGUUGUUUUUCUCGAAAAUCAAUUAAAAAUGGCUCGAUUUUGUAUUGUUGAGACCUUAAAAGCUCACUGUACAUUUUUCGUGUCUUUUUUAAUGCACUUUUCGUUUAACAAGUCAACAUCAGUUUCUUUUGUUGUAAAAGGGUCAUUGGAAGGUGGCUUUCUUUUCGGAGAAAGUGUUUAUAGCCUUUGGCCUCUGCAAUCGAAGAGACUGAGGUCUGCAGCGUAGACUCUUCGGGGUUAGAUACAUUUGUGCUAAGUUAUAGCUUUUUAUAGACAACUUGUUGACUAUAAUUAGUCUUGUAGCUUACUCGCUUAUGCUAUUUUACCUACGCUUAGGAUGUUGAAGAUGUAGCACAUCAU
RNAcentral lists this ribosomal RNA (777 nucleotides) under uncultured Neocallimastigales. RNAcentral describes it as "partial large subunit ribosomal RNA". It matches the Rfam family "Eukaryotic large subunit ribosomal RNA", at positions 23 to 635 of the family's 3401-position model. The record is from RNAcentral. Lineage: Eukaryota; Fungi; Neocallimastigomycota; Neocallimastigomycetes; Neocallimastigales.